GGAUUAGUAGUCAAAUGGUUACGACAUAGCUCUUUCAAUGCUACCACCGCAGGUUCGAGUCCUGUCUAGUCUA
RNAcentral lists this transfer RNA (73 nucleotides) under Claviceps maximensis. Its description in RNAcentral is "tRNA-Glu". It matches the Rfam family "tRNA". Rfam says of the family: Transfer RNA (tRNA) molecules are approximately 80 nucleotides in length. Their secondary structure includes four short double-helical elements and three loops (D, anti-codon, and T loops). Further hydrogen bonds mediate the characteristic L-shaped molecular structure. tRNAs have two regions of fundamental functional importance: the anti-codon, which is responsible for specific mRNA codon recognition, and the 3' end, to which the tRNAs corresponding amino acid is attached (by aminoacyl-tRNA synthetases). tRNAs cope with the degeneracy of the genetic code in two manners: having more than one tRNA (with a specific anti-codon) for a particular amino acid; and 'wobble' base-pairing, i.e. permitting non-standard base-pairing at the 3rd anti-codon position. Lineage: Eukaryota; Fungi; Ascomycota; Sordariomycetes; Hypocreales; Clavicipitaceae. RNAcentral also lists the same sequence under 1 other name. The record is from RNAcentral.